CUACGGGUGGCAGCAGCCGAGGAACUUUUACAAUGCUCGAAAGAGUGAUCGAGUAAGCCAGAGUGUUUCUCUUUGAGAAACUUUUGUUUGCUGUAAAAAUGCAGACAAAUAAGGACUGGGCAAGACCGGUGCCAGCCGCCGCGGUAAUACCGGCGGUCCGAGUCGCAUCCACAUUUAUUAGGUCUAAAACAUCCGUAGCUUGUUUUAUAAGUCUCUUGUGAAAUCCUAUAUCUCAAGUAUAGGGCGUGCAAGAGAUACUAUAUUACUAGAGACUGGAAGACGCAAAGAGUAUGAUUAAGGUAACGGUAAAAUGUGUUAAUCUUAAUUAGACUAACAAUGGCGAAGGCACUUUGCGAGUACAGAUCUGACAGUGAGGGAUGAAGGCUAGGGUCGCGAAAGGGAUUAGAUACCCCCGUAGUC
Molecule: ribosomal RNA, 420 nt
Filed under: uncultured archaeon
Lineage: Archaea
Description: partial 16S ribosomal RNA
Rfam family: Archaeal small subunit ribosomal RNA
Source: RNAcentral